UACGUAGGGGGCUAGCGUUGUCCGGAUUUAUUGGGCGUAAAGAGCGUGUAGGCGGCCAGGUAGGUCUGCUGUGAAAACUCGGGGCUUAACUCCGGGCCUGCAGUGGGUACGGGCAGACUAGGGUGCGGUAGGGGAGACUGGAAUUCCUGGUGUAGCGGUGAAAUGCGCAGAUAUCAGGAGGAACACCGGUGGCGAAGGCGGGUCUCUGGGCCGUAACUGACGCUGAGGAGCGAAAGCGUGGGGAGCGAACAGG
RNAcentral lists this ribosomal RNA (253 nucleotides) under uncultured bacterium. RNAcentral describes it as "partial 16S ribosomal RNA". It matches the Rfam family "Bacterial small subunit ribosomal RNA", at positions 524 to 776 of the family's 1533-position model. The record is from RNAcentral.